AUUGAACGCUGGCGGCAUGCCUUACACAUGCAAGUCGAACGGCAGCACGGGUGCUUGCACCUGGUGCCGAGUGGCGAACGCGUGAGUAAUACAUCGAAACAUGUCCUGGAGUGGGGGAUAGCCGGGCGGAAGCCGAAGUAAUACCGCAUACGCACUACGGCUGAAGGCGAGGGACCUUCGGCUCGGGCCCUCUAGCGUUGGCCUCUGCCUACGUAGCGAGUUGGGGGGGUCAAGGCCUACCAAGGCGACGACCAGUAGCUGGUCUGAGAGGACGACCAGCCACACUGGGACCGAGACCCGGUCCAGACUCCUACGGGAGGCAGCAGUGGGGAAUUUUGGCCACUGGGCGCAAGCCUGAUCCAGCAAUCCCGCGUGUGUGAAGAAGGCUUUCGGGUUGUAAAGCGUUUUUGUCCGGAAAGAAAUCCUUGCCCAUAAUACGGUCUGGGUCUGACGGUACCCGAAGAAUAAGCACCGGCUAACUUCGUG
RNAcentral lists this ribosomal RNA (486 nucleotides) under uncultured bacterium. RNAcentral's name for it is "partial 16S ribosomal RNA". It matches the Rfam family "Bacterial small subunit ribosomal RNA", at positions 30 to 507 of the family's 1533-position model. The record is from RNAcentral.